Molecule: ribosomal RNA, 496 nt
Filed under: uncultured bacterium
Lineage: Bacteria
Description: partial 16S ribosomal RNA
Rfam family: Bacterial small subunit ribosomal RNA
Source: RNAcentral
AUGAACGCUGGCGGCGUGCCUAAUACAUGCCAGUCGAGCGAACAGACGAGGAGCUUGCUCCUCUGACGUUAGCGGCGGACGGGUGAGUAACACGUGGAUAACCUACCUAUAAGACUGGGAUAACUUCGGGAAAUCGGAGCUAAUACCGGAUAAUAUAUUGAACCGCAUGGUUCAAUAGUGAAAGACGGUUUUGCUGUCACUUAUAGAUGGAUCCGCGCCGCAUUAGCUAGUUGGUAAGGUAACGGCUUACCAAGGCAACGAUGCGUAGCCGACCUGAGAGGGUGAUCGGCCACACUGGAACUGAGACACGGUCCAGACUCCUACGGGAGGCAGCAGUAGGGAAUCUUCCGCAAUGGGCGAAAGCCUGACGGAGCAACGCCGCGUGAGUGAUGAAGGUCUUCGGAUCGUAAAACUCUGUUAUUAGGGAAGAACAAAUGUGUAAGUAACUAUGCACGUCUUGACGGUACCUAAUCAGAAAGCCACGGCUAACUACGUG